GGGGCCUGGGGGCUGCCCAGGGCUCACUCCCAUCUGACCGCGCCCACCAUCCCACUCUCUCUCCACCACCCUCCCCAGGGCUACAAACUCCUUGCACAGGGGAGGAGGGAGAGCCUCCAGAGGGAGCCCCUCUUCCUGGUCCCGGGAUCCCAGGCCUCUUCCUCUCUCCCUGGUUGCCUAGGAGCGGUCAUUGUUCUGAAGCCCCAGAGCAAAGGGGAUCUCAAACAAAUGCUCCAUCCUGGGGCCUUCCUGCUGGAUCUGACAUUUGGGAUGUUUUUAAUUCCUGGAGAGACAGAUUUGCCACAGGGGAGAAAUGACCUCUCUGUGGGCCGCUCCUGGUUAGGCUGCCUAGGACGCAAGGGAGCGAGGCAGGAGAGACCAUCUCUGUUUUACGGGGCUCUCCCGGUAUCUUCAGAGAGUCCAGGCCAGCGCCAGGCAGGUGGACAGUGUUUCCAGUGGCCUUCCUGUGGCCUCGACAUGGUCAGCUCCCGGGCUGCCUCUGUGGCUAGCUCUGGGACCUUCCCAGCACCAUCGACUUGGCCCCCAGCAUGUCCUCAGCCACCGUCAUCAUCUCUCCAUCCCUCAGCCACCGUCAUCAUCUCUCCAUCCCUC
Homo sapiens (human) is the source of this 612-nucleotide long non-coding RNA. RefSeq lists it as uncharacterized. The transcript is spliced from 3 exons. The record is from RefSeq and is a predicted model, not a curated record. NCBI's taxonomy places the organism in Eukaryota, Metazoa, Chordata, Mammalia, Primates, Hominidae.